RNAcentral lists this transfer RNA (68 nucleotides) under Ceyx cyanopectus (Indigo-banded kingfisher). RNAcentral describes it as "tRNA-Phe". It matches the Rfam family "tRNA". From Rfam's summary of the family: Transfer RNA (tRNA) molecules are approximately 80 nucleotides in length. The record is from RNAcentral. Lineage: Eukaryota; Metazoa; Chordata; Aves; Coraciiformes; Alcedinidae.
GUCCACGUAGCUUAUAACAAAGCAUAGCACUGAAGAUGCUAAGAUGGCUGCCCCGCACCCCGAGGACA